CCUACGGGUGGCAGCAGUGAGGAAUAUUGGUCAAUGGACGAGAGCCUGAACCAGCCACGCCGCGUGAAGGAUGACUGCCCUAUGGGUUGUAAACUUCUUUUAUCUGGGAAUAAAACGUUCCACGUGUGGGAUUUUGUAUGUACCAUAUGAAUAAGGAUCGGCUAAAUCCGUGCCAGCCGCCGCGGUAAUACGGAGGAUACGAGCGUUAUCCGGAUUUAUUGGGUUUAAAGGGAGCGUAGGUGGUUUGUUUAGUCAGUUGUGAAAGUUUGCGGCUAAACCGUAGCAGUGCAGUUGAAACUGGCAGUCUUGAGUACGGUAGAGGUGAGCGGAAUUCGUGGUGUAGCGGUGAAAUGCUUAGAUAUCACGAAGAACUCCGAUUGCGAAGGCAGUUCACUGGACUGCAACUGACACUGAGGCUCGAAAGUGUGGGUAUCAAACAGGAUUAGAUACCCUAGUAGUC
This 460-nucleotide ribosomal RNA is filed under the name uncultured bacterium. RNAcentral describes it as "partial 16S ribosomal RNA". It matches the Rfam family "Bacterial small subunit ribosomal RNA", at positions 338 to 795 of the family's 1533-position model. The record is from RNAcentral.